CCUAAUCUUCCCAUGGCAAACUGCUCAGUAACACAUGAUCAACUUACCCUAUAGAGAGAAAUACCCUCGGGAAACUGAGGAUAAUGGCUCAUAAUUGAAAAGGCUUGGAAAAGUUUUUCAAUUAAAGGAUGUGAUAAAUGGUUCUUAUCCGCUAUAGGAUAGGAUCGUGCUCGAUUAUGGUUGUUGGUGAGGUAAAGGCUCACCAAGCCGAUAAUCGAUAGGGGCCGUGAGAGCGGGAGCCCCGAGAUGGGUACUGAGACAACGACCCAGGCCUUACGAGGCGCAGCAGGCGCGAAACCUCCGCAAUACACGAAAGUGUGACGGGGUUACCCAAAGUGUUCAAUUCUGAACUGUGGUAGGUGAGUAAUGUUCCCUACUAGAAAGGAGAGGGCAAGGCUGGUGCCAGCCGCCGCGGUAAAACCAGCUCUUCAAGUGGUCGGGAUAUUUAUUGGGCUUAAAGUGUCCGUAGCCGGUUUAACAAGUUCCUGGUAAAAUCGGGUAGCUUAACUAUCUGUAUGCUAGGAAUACUGUCAUACUAGAGGGCGGGAGAGGUCUGAGGUACUACAGGGGUAGGGGUGAAAUCUUAUAAACCUUGUAGGACCACCAGUGGCGAAGGCGUCAGACUGGAACGCGCCUGACGGUGAGGGACGAAAGCCAGGGGAGCGAACCGGAUUAGAUACCCGGGUAGUCCUGGGCCGUAAACGAUGCAUACUAGGUGAUGGCAAGGCCAUGAGCCGUGUCAGUGCCGUAGGGAAACCGUUAAGUGUGCCGCCUGGGAAGUACGGUCGCAAGGCUAAAACUUAAAGGAAUUGGCGGGGGAGCACCACAAGGGGU
RNAcentral lists this ribosomal RNA (834 nucleotides) under uncultured archaeon. RNAcentral's name for it is "bacterial SSU rRNA". It matches the Rfam family "Archaeal small subunit ribosomal RNA", at positions 58 to 889 of the family's 1478-position model. The record is from RNAcentral.